This 1698-nucleotide long non-coding RNA is filed under the name Pan troglodytes (chimpanzee). RNAcentral describes it as "long non-coding RNA NONPTRT001914". Lineage: Eukaryota; Metazoa; Chordata; Mammalia; Primates; Hominidae. The record is from RNAcentral.
UUCUUUAUGGGUUAUAAAUUUAAAUGUGAAAGUUUAUGAUUUUUAAAAAUGUAAAUUAUAGGAAAUGGAGACUUGAGUGAUUUAUUAAACUUGUAUGCUUUUCAGAAUAUUCAAUUUUUUUUUUUUUUUGAGGUGGAGUUUCACUUUUGUCACCCAGGUUAGAGUGCAAUGGUGUGAUCUCGGCUCACUGCAACCUCCGCCUUUCCGGUUCAAGCGAUUCUCCUGCCUCAGCCUCCCGAGUAGCUGGGAUUACAGGUGCCUGCCACCAAGCCGAGCUAAUUUUUGUGUUUUUAGUAGAGACAGGGUUUCAUCAUGUUGGCCAGGCUGGUCUUCAACUCCUGACCUCAGGUGAUGCACCCGCCUCAGCCUCCCAAAGUGCUGGUAUUACAGGCGUGAGCCACUGGGCCUGGCCAGAAUAUUCAAACUUUGAAUGGCAAAGUACUGUGCCUAAAAUUAUGAUUUCUGUGUAAAGCAAAAUUGUUUCAGAGUUUUCGUAGAUCAGGAGUCAUUAUACGGGAGUUUUUCUGAGCUUAUAAUGUUUUUCAUACUUUUUUUUUAAAGAUGCCUGAAGAGCCAAAGCUGACUUUGGAUGAGUCUUAUGACCUUGAUGUUGAAAAUGAAGAAGUCCUAACUUUGCAAGAAACUCUGGAAGCACUUAGCCUCUCUGAAUAUUUUAGCACUUUUGAAAAGGAAAAGAUUGAUAUGGAAUCCCUGGUACUGAUCAUAGUUUGCUUCAUUUUGUUUGAAAUUGUUUUUCUUGCGUAGAUUGAAAAUUAGGAAUAAACAUUUUCGUAUCAAAAUACACUCCAGAGUAGACAAAGACUGAAAUGUUUUAAAAAAUUGAAAAACACAGAAGAAUAUUUUUUUAUAAUCUGAAAGGCUUUUCUGAGUAUGAUGCAAAAUCCAGAAGCCAUCAAAGAAAAAAAUUGUGUAACAGUAGACACCAUAAACAACAUCUAAAGGCCAGUGAUACAUUUGCAACACACAUUAUAGACAGAGGGCUUAUUUCAUUGAUUUUCAAAGCUUCUACAAAUCAGUUACAGAAAGACCAUCACAUCAGUGUGAUAUGUAAAUAGGCAAAGAAUAUAAACAUGAUUUACAGAAAAGGAAAUAACAAAUGGUGUCUUGGCGUAUGAAAACUCAUAAGAGAAAUGGAAAUUGAAAGUACAAUGGGAUUUUUUUUUAACUUACCAGUUUGAAAAAAUAGGAAGUUUGAUAAUAUGCUAUGUGGCCAGGGUUACUACUUAAAGAAAUUUAUCGAACAAUGAACAUUAGUCCAGAACAGCCCCAGCAUUGAUCAAACUUCAGUUUUACUGUGUGAGUUUAUCCUUUUGAGGUCAGGAGUUUGAGACCAGCCUGGCCAACAUGGUGAGACCCCUGUCUCUACUAAAAAUACAAAAAUUAGCCGGGCAUGGUGGCAUGCGCCUGUAAUCCCAGGUACUAUUUUAAAAUUAGAUGAAAAUCCAAAAAAAUCCAUUGAGGAAUAUGUGAUUAUCUAAAAAAAAAAGAUGAUCUCAGCUGGACACAGUGGCUCAUGCUUGUAAUCCCAGCACUUUGGGAGGCUGAGGUGGGAGGAUUGUGUGAGCCCAAAAGUUAGAGACUAGCAAUAUAGGGAGACCUCAUCUCUACAUUUUUUUUUAGAUGGAGUCUCGCCUGUCUCUCAGGGUGGAGUGCAGUGGUGGGAUCUUGGCUCACUGC